GCUCUCUUCAAAAGGACAUAAAAUAAAAUUGAAACAAUACAGAGAAGAUUAGCAUGGCCUCUGCACAUGGUAGGAUGGCAUUCAAAGUCAUGAAGUAUUUUAUAUUUUU
Molecule: small nuclear RNA, 109 nt
Organism: Ictidomys tridecemlineatus (thirteen-lined ground squirrel)
Lineage: Eukaryota; Metazoa; Chordata; Mammalia; Rodentia; Sciuridae
Source: Ensembl